GACGAACGCUGGCGGCGUGCUUAACACAUGCAAGUCGAGCGGUAAGGCCCUUUCGGGGGUACGACGAGCGGCGAACGGGUGAGUAACACGUGGGUGACCUGCCCUCAGCUCUGGGAUAAGCCUGGGAAACUGGGUCUAAUACUGGAUAUGACUCCACGGUGCAUGUCGUGGGGUGGAAAGCCUUGUGCGGCUGAGGAUGGGCCCGCGGCCUAUCAGCUUGUUGGUGGGGGAUGGCCUACCAAGGCGACGACGGGUAGCCGGCCUGAGAGGG
RNAcentral lists this ribosomal RNA (271 nucleotides) under uncultured bacterium. Its description in RNAcentral is "partial 16S ribosomal RNA". It matches the Rfam family "Bacterial small subunit ribosomal RNA", at positions 28 to 300 of the family's 1533-position model. The record is from RNAcentral.